This 253-nucleotide ribosomal RNA is filed under the name uncultured bacterium. RNAcentral describes it as "partial 16S ribosomal RNA". It matches the Rfam family "Bacterial small subunit ribosomal RNA", at positions 524 to 776 of the family's 1533-position model. The record is from RNAcentral.
UACGGAGGGGGCUAGCGUUGUUCGGAAUUACUGGGCGUAAAGCGCGCGUAGGCGGCUUUGUAAGUUAGAGGUGAAAGCCCGGAGCUCAACUCCGGAAUUGCCUUUAAGACUGCAUCGCUAGAAUCAUGGAGAGGUGAGUGGAAUUCCGAGUGUAGAGGUGAAAUUCGUAGAUAUUCGGAAGAACACCAGUGGCGAAGGCGACUCACUGGACUGGUAUUGACGCUGAGGUGCGAAAGCGUGGGGAGCAAACAGG